AAUGAACGCUGGCGGCAGGCCUAACACAUGCAAGUCGAACGGGUCCUUCGGGACUAGUGGCGGACGGGUGAGUAACGCGUGGGAACGUGCCCCUUGGUACGGGAUAGCCCCGGGAAACUGGGAGUAAUACCGUAUGUGGUCGAGAGACGAAAGAUUUAUCGCCAAGGGAUCGGCCCGCGUUGGAUUAGGUAGUUGGUGGGGUAAUGGCCUACCAAGCCGACGAUCCAUAGCUGGUUUGAGAGGAUGAUCAGCCACACUGGGACUGAGACACGGCCCAGACUCCUACGGGAGGCAGCAGUGGGGAAUCUUAGACAAUGGGGGAAACCCUGAUCUAGCCAUGCCGCGUGAUCGAUGAAGGCCUUAGGGUUGUAAAGAUCUUUCAGGUGGGAAGAUAAUGACUGUACCACCAGAAGAAGCCCCGGCUAACUCCGUG
This 433-nucleotide ribosomal RNA is filed under the name uncultured bacterium. RNAcentral's name for it is "bacterial SSU rRNA". It matches the Rfam family "Bacterial small subunit ribosomal RNA", at positions 29 to 507 of the family's 1533-position model. The record is from RNAcentral.